Molecule: unclassified non-coding RNA, 397 nt
Filed under: uncultured fungus
Lineage: Eukaryota; Fungi
Description: partial contains small subunit ribosomal RNA, internal transcribed spacer 1, and 5.8S ribosomal RNA
Rfam family: Eukaryotic small subunit ribosomal RNA (bases 1-73)
Source: RNAcentral
GCAAACUUGGUCAUUUAGAGGAAGUAAAAGUCGUAACAAGGUUUCCGUAGGUGAACCUGCGGAAGGAUCAUCAAUGAAUUUCCAAAUUCAUUUGGCUUUUGGGGAGUUGGAUUCGUCUGGCACCCCCAUUGCCUUAUCAACCAUCAGUCCUCUGUCUAGCCAAGGUGUCUCGAGAUGCUCUUGUGGCAUCGUCACCCCGAGCCCUUUGCGAAGGCGUGGACUUUUUCGAGUAGUUUGGAGACAGGUUCGCUUAGUUUUUUUUGGCGGAGAGGCUCUUGCCUUUCCCCCAGCAUUACGGGCAGCCUCCUCUUACUCGUUACUGUGGGCAACAAAAAUAAAUUAAAAUACAACUUUUAACGAUGGAUCUCUUGGCUCCCGCAUCGAUGAAGAACGCAGC